Molecule: ribosomal RNA, 447 nt
Filed under: uncultured bacterium
Lineage: Bacteria
Description: partial 16S ribosomal RNA
Rfam family: Bacterial small subunit ribosomal RNA
Source: RNAcentral
AGCGAACGCUGGCGGCAGGCUUAACACAUGCAAGUCGAGCGCCCCGCAAGGGGAGCGGCAGACGGGUGAGUAACACGUGGGAACGUACCCUUUGGCUCGGAACAACCCAGGGAAACUUGGGCUAAUACCGGAUACGUCCGUAAGGAGAAAGAUUUAUCGCCAAAGGAUCGGCCCGCGUCUGAUUAGCUAGUUGGUGAGGUAAUGGCUCACCAAGGCUACGAUCAGUAGCUGGUCUGAGAGGAUGAUCAGCCACAUUGGGACUGAGACACGGCCCAAACUCCUACGGGAGGCAGCAGUGGGGAAUAUUGGACAGUGGGGGCAACCCUGAUCCAGCCAUGCCGCGUGAGUGAUGAAGGCCCUAGGGUUGUAAAGCUCUUUUAGCAGGGAAGAUAAUGACGGUACCUGCAGAAAAAGCCCCGGCUAACUUCGUGCCAGCCGCCGCCGUAA